RNAcentral lists this ribosomal RNA (862 nucleotides) under Tympanis malicola. RNAcentral's name for it is "partial large subunit ribosomal RNA". It matches the Rfam family "Eukaryotic large subunit ribosomal RNA", at positions 62 to 943 of the family's 3401-position model. The record is from RNAcentral. Lineage: Eukaryota; Fungi; Ascomycota; Leotiomycetes; Leotiales; Tympanidaceae.
AGAACAACAGGGAUUGCCCCAGUAACGGCGAGUGAAGCGGCAAUAGCUCAAAUUUGAAAUCUGGCUCUUUCAGGGUCCGAGUUGUAAUUUGCAGAGGGCGCUUUGGUGUCGGCAGCAGCCUAAGUUCCUUGGAACAGGUCAUCAUAGAGGGUGAGAAUCCCGUAUGUGGCUGCUUGUCUUCACCGUGUAAAGCCCCUUCGAUGAGUCGAGUUGUUUGGGAAUGCAGCUCUAAAUGGGAGGUAAAUUUCUUCUAAAGCUAAAUAUUGGCCAGAGACCGAUAGCGCACAAGUAGAGUGAUCGAAAGAUGAAAAGCACUUUGGAAAGAGAGUCAAAAAGCACGUGAAAUUGUUGAAAGGGAAGCGCUUGCAGCCAGACGUGCCCGCAGUUGCUCAUCCGGGGUUCUCCCCGGUGCACUCUUCUGUGGGCAGGCCAGCAUCAGUCCGGGCGGUUGGAGAAAGACCUGUGUCAUGUAGCUCUUUUCGGGGAGUGUUAUAGGGCAGGUGGAAUGCAACCAGCCUGGACUGAGGUCCGCGCAUCUGCUAGGAUGCUGGCGUAAUGGCUGUAAGCGGCCCGUCUUGAAACACGGACCAAGGAGUCUAACAUCUAUGCGAGUGUUUGGGUGUCAAGCCCGAGCGCGUAAUGAAAGUGAACGGAGGUGGGAACCCCUUGGGGUGCACCAUCGACCGAUCCUGAUGUCUUCGGAUGGAUUUGAGUAAGAGCAUAGCUGUUGGGACCCGAAAGAUGGUGAACUAUGCCUGAAUAGGGUGAAGCCAGAGGAAACUCUGGUGGAGGCUCGCAGCGGUUCUGACGUGCAAAUCGAUCGUCAAAUUUGGGCAUAGGGCGAAAGACUAAUCGAACUUAU